AGCUCAGGGGUAGAGCGCUCGCUUCGCAUGCGAGAAGUCCGGGGUUCAAUUCCCCG
This 56-nucleotide transfer RNA is filed under the name Caenorhabditis brenneri. It matches the Rfam family "tRNA", at positions 9 to 63 of the family's 71-position model. From Rfam's summary of the family: Transfer RNA (tRNA) molecules are approximately 80 nucleotides in length. The record is from Rfam by way of RNAcentral. Lineage: Eukaryota; Metazoa; Nematoda; Chromadorea; Rhabditida; Rhabditidae.